UCAAAUAACAAUUCUAUUUUAAAAUUAGCACAAUAUUUUUAAUAAUAAUUGCAGUUUAAAUUAUAAUUAUUUUGAAAUAUAUAAUUCUCACAACUUCUAUUAAAUUAUAAAUUUUUUUUAAAAAAACAAACCGAUGUCUGCUACUCUAGCACGAUUCUGUCUGCCGUCUCUGGCACGGGUUCUUUGGUUUUAGGUUGUGUUUGUGUUUUUUUGGAUUUCUGAGGGGUUUUGAUCUCUUUUAUUUUAUCCCCUACGACGUUCACGAUUGUUUCUCUUUUCAAUUGGUUGGUAGAAGCGUUCCUUCAAUUCCUGCAACCAUGGAGACUGAAUUAGCACAGUUAUCAAUUAAUGAAGAAGAAGAAGAGAUCUUGCAGAUUCAGGAUGAUCUACAUCCAAAUACAGAUGUGGGCGAUUAUCAGCUUGUGGGAUGUUUUUUAACAGCAAGCAUCAUAAAUUUUUCGGCUAUGAAGAGUACCCUAGCAAAUUUAUGGCACCCCAUCUGUGGGGUACAGAUUCGUGAUUUGGGGGAAAAAAGGUACCUUUUUAAGUUCUUCCAUAGUAUGGAUAUGGAGAGAGUUCUAAAGGGUCUUCCUUGGACUUUUAACAAUCUACUAAUUUUGAGCAAUCUGAACAGAGGUGAAGAUCCGUUAAAAAUACCGUUAAUAUAUGUCCCGUUCUGGGUACAAAUCCAUGAUGUUCCAAUGGGUUUAUUCUCUAAAAGUUUAGCAAUGUUACUGGGGAAUUUUAUUGGAGUAUUUUUAGAGUAUGAUGCAUCAAAUCUGGGAAAGGAAAAUCGUAAUUUUAUGAGAGUUAGGGUGCAAAUUGAUGUCAGGAAGCCAUUAAGGAGAAAGAAGCAGGUUAUGUCUAAUGGUGUUUGCUCGUACGUUAAAUUCAAAUUCAAGUAUGAACGUUUAUCACUGUUUUGUUUUUUCUGUGGUCGUUUGGGUCAAAAUGAUUCUUAUUGUGAGGCAAAAAUGAUGUUUGGAUCAGAUCCCAUGGAGUUGGGUUGGGAUUUAUCUCUGCGGGCUCCAUCACGUAGAGCUUUGUCUACAGAAAGUAUUUGGCUACGUGAAGAGGAUGAGGGGGUUAGGGAAGGUUGUUGGAUGGAGAACAGGUUGGGGGAGAAGGGUUCAAGGAAUGGGAUUCCAAGAGUCAGUGAGAUGAAAACCAUGGAUCCAAUAUUGGGUUUCAGUUUAGAAGGGAAAGGAACAAUUUUGGAGAAACCAUGGUCAUAUAAGAAGCACACAUUAAUAGAUCAUGAUCUAGAGGAUGAAGUUGUAAUGGGGGAAGAGGGGAAGAAGCAGAAUAGGGGUGAAAUGGAAGGACAGAUACUUUUAUCAUUGGCAACUAACCUCCGACCGGUCGCAAUGAAAAUAUUAUGCUGGAACGUCCGAGGAUUGGGGAGUCAUUGGACAGUUCGAAGACUUCAGUAUGUACUGAAGUUAAAAAAUCCCCAAAUUGUCUUCUUCAUGGAGACAAAAUUUAACAAAAAGCAGAUGGAAGUAGUUCGCAGGAGAUGUGGGUUUCAUAAUGGCAUUGAAGUCGAUUCUGAAGGUACAAGGGGUGGGUUAUGUUUGGCAUGGAGAACAGAUAUUGAUGUUGGUUUUCGCAGUUUCUCUAAAAGACAUAUCAAUGUGUUAGUCGAUGAUAAUGAGAAAGGUGUGAAAUGGAGAUUCACAGGGUUCUAUGGUUCCCCAUAUGUUCAGGAUAGGAAUGUGCCAUGGGAUACUUUGAAAAGAUUGGCCACAGGAGUGGAAAUUCCAUGGUUGGUUUGUGGAGACUUUAAUGAAAUUAUGUAUGGUUUCGAAAAGAAAUGAGGGAUUCCCAAAUAUGAGAGAAGAAUGGAGUGUUUUCGAAAAACACUUGAUGAUUGUCAAUUGAACGAUGUGGGUUUCGAUGGUAGUUGGUUUACUUGGGAAAGAGGUAAUUUACCUGAGACAAAUAUACGAGAACGCCUUGAUAGAGGAGUUGCGAAUAUGGGUUGGAUUACAAUGUUUCCAGAUGUGAAGGUUCAACAUCUUUCCCAUUCAUUUUCAGAUCACUGUCCCCUUCUCAUUGAUACUACAGAAAAAAGGAGUAAAGGUAGAGAAUAAUGAUUUUAAAUUUGAAACCUGGUGGUUAUUGGAGGAAUCUUUUAUUGAGGUGGUUAAAGGCAUAUGGGAUAGUUCGACAGGAGACUUGCUGCAGAGAUUGGAGAUUUUGAAUACGGGAUUAAAGGGGUGGGUAGGAGAGGUGGAAAUGAGUAGAAAGAAAUCUAAACAGAAGCUUCACAAAAAACUUGAGGAACUGGCUAGAGCGGAGAGGGAUGAAAAUAGUUUAGCAGAGCUAAUUGACACUAGACUAAACUUAAAUUUUGAGAUUGAAAAAGACGAAUGCUACUGGAAACAAAGAGCUAGAAUUAAUUGGUUGACAUUUGGAGACAAAAACAUAAAAUUCUUUCAUAGUCAAGCUACACAAAGGAAGAGAAAAAAUUUUAUUAACAGAUUGAUGAAUGAAGAAGGAAGAGAGCUGAAGAUUUUACAGGAAAUUGAAGAAAAUGCGAGAUUUUAUUUCCAGAAAAUGUUCACAACUGAACGAAGAAGGAAUAACAAUCGGAUUUUGGCAGGUAUUGAGAGAUGCAUUCAUGAGGAGGACAACCAGAUCCUUACAGCUCCAUAUACUAGGGAGGAAAUCACGAAAGCGGUUUUUGAUAUGGGGCCAACGAAGGCACCAGGGGAAAAUGGUCUUCCAGCAGUUUUUUACCAAAAGUGUUGGCAGAUCGUGGGAGAAGAUGUCAUUGCUUACUGCUCUCGAAUUUUGAAUGGACAUAUGGAGGUUAGUUCAAUAAAUUCCAUAAAUAUUGUUCUUAUACCCAAAGUUAAUAAUCCCCUAAUAAUGACGCAAUUCAGGCCGAUUAGUCUCUGUAAUGUUAUUUACAAAUUUAUUGCUAAGGUGAUAGCUAGUAUGCUUAGAAAGGUGAUCAGGAAAUGUAUUGAUGAAACCCAGAGUGCUUUUGUUCCUGGUCGAUUAAUCUCUAAUAAUGUGAUACUAGCAUAUGAAGUAAUGAAUAAGUUAAAACAGAAGAGGCUGGGAAAAAAGGGUUCAUGGCCGUAAAACUUGAUAUGAGUAAGGCUUAUGACAGGGAGGAGUGAAGUUUUAUUGAAGAAAUUAUGAUAAGAAUGCGAUUUGAUUCGGAAUGGGUGAAGGCCAUUAUGAAUUGUGUUUCUACCGUUUCCUACUCGGUUGUUAUUAAUGGACAUAAAGGGGAUACAUUUUCACCUAAUAGAGGUUUGAGACAAGGCAAUCCACUUAGUCCAUUUUUAUUUCUCUUUUGUGGCGAAGGUUUAUCGAGCUUAUUGAGGCAGGCAAUAAAAAGAGGCUCGUUCAAUGGCGUAAAGGUUAGUAGAAGUGGGCUGCAAAUCUCCCAUCUUUUAUUCACAGAUGAUUGUGUUUUGUUUGGUGAAGCAACAAGCAGGGGUGCAAGUAUCUUCAAGGGCAUUUUGGAUGAAUAUAAAUCUCAAUCAGGACAGUGUGUAAAUUUUGAAAAAACAUCUGUUUUCUUUAGCAAAAAUACUUCCGAAGAGGAUAAAAGACAAGUUGUUAACUCGCUGGGGGUCCGAAGGUCGAAUGAACUAGAGAGAUAUCCGGGAUUGCCUAAUAUGGUGGGUCGAAGAAAGAGGGAAGCUUUCUAAAAUAUGAAGGAUAGGUUCAAAAAAAGCAUCGAUAAUUGAAGCACUAGAUUUCUUUCACAGGGAGGCAAAGAAGUUUUUAUUAAAGCCAUUUUACAGGCUAUACCUACCUAUUCGAUGGCAUGCUUCUUAUUUCCCAGAACACUUUGUGAUGAACUGGAACAUAUUGUUGCCAAAUUUUGGUGGCAGAAAGGGAAGGGAAAAAGAGGAAUCCAUUGGUGCACUUGGAAGAAACUUUGUUUUUUGAAAGAAAAUGGGGGAAUUGGGUUUCACAAUUUCGGUCAGUUCAAUAUUGCAUUAUUAGCAAAACAAGGUUGGCGUCUCAUUAAUUUUCCAAAUUCGCUUUUAGCUAGAACUUUAAAAGCAAAGUCUUAUCCGGAUUCUUGUUUCUUAACAGCGAAGCUUGGAAAUUUACCUUCUUUUACCUGGAAGAGUAUCUGGGCUGCUAAAGGUUUGCUCCAAAAAGGGAUGUGCUGGAGAGUGGGUAGAGGAGAUAGCAUCUCUGUUUGGGACGAUUGUUGGAUUCAGGGGGUUGACAAAAUUGACAUAAACAACAGAACAACCAGGAGGGAAAUUAAGUUAGUUGCGGAUCUUCUUGAUCAUUCAAACAGAAAAUGAAACUUGGAGUUAAUUCAGAAUACCUUUCCUGAGGACAUAGUUCGGAAAAUCCUUCAAAUUCCCUUUACAGAGACUGCGCAUGAUGAUUUUCAAGCUUGGAAAGGGGAGUUAUCUGGUAAGUUCUCUGUUCGCAGUGCCUAUAAACUAUUACAAAAUGCAAAUAUGGAUCCUAGUGACUAUUUAUUACAAACCGAAACAAAGGAUUUUUACAAAGAACUAUGGAGCCUUCAGCUACCAUCUAAAAUUGCGUUUACAGUCUGGCGGAUCUCUUGGGACUUUAUUCAAAGCUUUGUGAACCUCAAAAUAAGGAGAGGUAUCAAACGACAGAUGUCCCCGGUGUAGCUCUGAGGUAAAAAGCAGUCUCCACGUCUUUCGAGAUUACCCUACGACAGCAGAGGUAUGGCAUUUGUUAAAUUUCGCAUGGGUUAUGAACAAUAGGAGCCAUACUAUGUGGAGUAGUUAACCUGGGUCUUCAAGAGGGGAAACAAUGACCAAUGCUUUUCCUUUUUCUAUGCGCUAUGGUGGAUAUGGUUUUCUAGAAAUCAAAUUAUUCAUGAGAGAAAUAUCAUUCUAGGAAGGGCUUUAAUACUUAACAUUCAAAGAUAUGUGUCAGAACAGAAAGGAUUAAAUGGUUUAAAAACUAAGGCGACCACAUGCAGAAGCUAUAGAGUACAAGAGCUACACCGACAGCCAAGAUCCAUUUUGAUGCAGCAUACAACAGUAAUACUUCCAGUUCAGCGUCCGGCCUUGUAGGUUGGGACACGAGGGGAGUCUUGAUAGCAUUAAAAACAGUUAUUCAUAGAAAUGUUCCUUCUCCUUUCGCAGCAGAGGCUCAUGCAUGUUUAGAAGGAGUAAAGUUAGGGAUUUCAUUACGAAUCCAUUCAGUAAAACUUAUGGGGGAUUCAAAAACUGUUAUAAAGAAAUGUCAAGAGACUUCUAUAGACAAAUCAGUUAUUGGAGCCAUCAUCAGAGAUAUUCAACAAAAGAAAUCCGACUUUCAAGAUGUUAUUUUCCAGUAUAUUCACAGGUCGGAAAACUUAGAUGCUCACAGAAUAGCAAAGAUUGCAUUUGAGAAAGGAGAGACGUUUUACCUGAGGGGUGAGGAACUGGAUAGUCAGAAUCUGGCUUUGGUAGGAUAUCGGCCAAGAAAUCCAGAUUGAGGAACUGCUUCAGAGGAAAUGUGACAGAAACAGAUAGCAAAAUGAAGAAUGAAUGCUUAGGACCGCUAUUAAUUAAAUGUUAGGAGCUUUGGAAAUUACAAAUCGUCAAACGUUAUUGGUUGCCAACUGCUCAUUGAUUUGACUAGGUUAGGUUUUAAUAAGCUUUAUUUCCUUUUAUUGAUUUGAUGUUUCCUUUUGCAAGACAGAAGUCUGAUAGUUUUUAAGUUUUUUCAUUGUUGUUUUUUCUGGUUUCUUUGUUUGGGCCAUUGUUUGGGCCGUCUGUUUUUAGUUUAUUUUUUAAUAAAAUCCCAGUCUUUGCUUCAAAAAAUAAUAAUUAUUAUUUUUAAAUUUAUAAAGAGUAUUUAUAUGUAAAAAAUAUUUUUUAUUUAAUUAAAAAACUUGAAUUCUUAUUAUUUUAAAUUCAUCCAAUUAUAUUCAAUGAUUUUAUAGAUUUAUAGUUUUAUUAAUUAAUAAUAUAUUAUGUUUUCUUUUAAGUAGAGCCUUUAUAAUAUAUGACCAAAUUAAUUAAUAUAUUAUUAUUUUAAUUAAUCUUACUUUUUAUUAUUAUAUAAUAAUAAUAAUAAAUUAUUAUUCUAAUGUAGUUUAGUAAUAUAAUUAACAAUAAAGGAUAUUUUUGUCAGUUCAAAAGUUUUUUCAAGACUCGUGCUUUUAUAUAUAUAUUAUAGAUAGAUAUUUUUAUGAUUUUUAUCGGAUAUAUGAAAGAUUAAAUCACAGCCUGUCAUAUUUCGUCAUCUAAUUGGUCCGUUAAUUGAUUUUAAUGGUUAAUGUAACGAAAUGUGAAAAUUAUUAAUGUAAGAGCUUAAUUAAUUUUUCAGGUUAAUGAUAAGGGAUCAACUGGGUUCAAAUUAAGUCAAGGGGCUUAGUAACUUUUUUUGGUUUUUUCUUAAGGGACUAUUAUAGCUAUAAGCCUUUGAUAAAUUUAGUAAAUUUUUUUAUUUAAUAAACUAUUCUCAUCAAAUUACUAAAAUAAUACAUAAAAUGCGAAUUAAUUUAUACUUUUUUAAAUAGCUUUACUUUAGGUAAAAUAUAUUUACUUUAAUAAUAAAAUAAAGGGCUUUUAUGAGUAAAAAUCAUAGAUUAAGAGCUUAUUUAACUACAAAAAUAGGUUGAGGGCUUGUUUAUUAAAUAAAAAAGUGAGUUGAAGGGGAAUAAAAAGAAAAUAAUAAAUAAGGAAGGCUUAGAAGGCAAUUAGCCAAGUUUCAGCUUUGGCGCUGACACACCCACAGGCGGCACCAAUUCACUUUCAAAAUUCAAAAUGGUAAAUUUGCAUGUCAAGUCCUUGAAACUGCAGAUAGUUACAUUUUAGUCCUGUGCCGCUAAUAGGUGCCACCAAUGAGAAAGGCACCAUCGGUGCCGCCAUUCCAUUACCCUCCUUCAGCCGUCUUUUUUUUGUAUUAUUUUGAUAAAUAAUUUUUUUAUAUAUUAUUUUAGUAUUUUUUUAUUUCUUUUGUAUUAUUUUAGUAAAAAACCCUUUCUUAAGCUCUAUUUUUUUACAAGGAAGGAAUUAGUUUUAAAACUUUACAUUGUAGCUUUUUAAGAAAUAAUAAAUUAUAGGUUAAAUUCCGUUAUUAGACCCUAUACUUUAUGUAAGUUGUGGACUUAGUAUUUGGUCAUUUUUAGUCCCUAUACUUUUAGAAUUUGAAAAUUUUAGUUCUAACCAAAUGAUAACUAUUAAAUUCAUUAAGUCAAGUUCUGUUAUUUUUAAAAUUUAAUGUGUUAAACAUAUUAUCACAUAUAUAAUGCUAUGUCUAUUUUGUUAUUUUCACAUAUUACUUACAAAAAUUCAAUUAAUAGAUUUAAUGACUGCCAUUUACAUUAAGCCUGAAAUUUUGAAAUUAAAAAAAUAUAGCCACUAAAAAGGAUCCAAUUGGUGAACGUGAACUCAAUCUAUAACUUUACGCAUACUAUAGGACUAAUGACAUAAUUGAACCAAACAGAUUUAACUGCUACAUCAGAACUAAAAUUUCAAAUUUCAAAUAGUACAAUGUAAUAAAAGAAUUUAACCUAAAUUAUAUGUUUUUACCGUACUUUUUUAUGAAUACGAAUGAAAUAUCGCUCAAUUUGUCUUUUACUAUACUUUUUAAACACACUUCCAAUAAAUUUUUGUCUAAUUCAAUUUUAAAAGUUUUUAAAAUUUUAAUAUUAAAAAUUGUAAGUGUCUUAAAUAUAUUUGUAAAAAUUUAAAUACAAAAAAAUAGUUUAACUAAAAUUUAAUUUAAAUUAUUUUUUUGAAGAGGUUAACACUGGAUUAAGAAAUUAUAAUUUAAAAUUCUAAAUACAAAUAUGUUAAUUUAUUAAAUUCAAACCUCCAAAACAUAAUUUGAAACAAAUUAAUCUAUCACCAAGUAAUUGAAGCAUUAAAUAAAGUUUAUUCAUCCACCUUUAAUCUAUUACAAUUUUUUAACUUUUGCAUGUUUGAUCCAAUUGGUGAACCAUUUCAACCCAAUUUUGGUGGGACAAAAGCUAUGUGUGUGUGUAUAUAUUGCUAGACACAUACACAAAAUAAAAGGGAAAUAAUUAGUAAAUAAAGAAUAUAUUAAUCAAUCAAUAAAAAAAAGGGGACAUUGUGGGACAUUCAUGAAAUAAGAUCCCACUAAGGAGCAACUAAGCUAUCAUAUCAAUAAAUAAAUAAAUAAAAACUUAAUAACUUUUGUACCCCUCCAACUUUAUAAAAACAAAAUCAUUUUAGCCUUUCAUUUAAUUUUUCACCUUUUUAGCUCUUAAACUUAUAUUUUUUUUGUCAAAUCACCUCACAAUGAAUGAAAAAGUUGACAUUUUUUAACUUUGUUAAUGUUGCGUACACGUGAAUGACAAUGUUGUGACACAAUUCGAUUUGAGUUGAAAACGAGCUAUUGUGGCCAAUUAUGUAUGAAAGAGCUAUUAGACUUGGAAAUGAUUGAAAUUUUAAAGUGAAAUGCGACUUAUAAACUUAAUUGUGAUACUAGUGAAUGAAUAAGUAUCAUUAUACAUGAAUAAAUGUAGAAAUGAACUAAAUGCUAAUAAAUUGAAUGUUAUAUGAGAAGUUAAUAUGUAUGUAUAAAGAAUUGGUAUGCUAUUAUGAAUAUAAGCAUAGAUAUAUGGAAGUGAAAUUAUUUUUCAUAUGUUGGCAUAAGUUAGACUACAAAUUGAACAUAUGCAUUUGCAUGAAUUUGUUCAUAUUGAUUUGAAUUGUAGAAAUUACCACUAAGCAAUUUGCUCAAUGUGCGAUUUGUUUUCUGUGCCCAGGUUAGGUUCUAUUCAAAAUUCCUGAGCAUUAACUUCAACAUCCAAUCAAUGAUCCUGGGCUCAUCAAUGUUUGUUCGUUUAUGGAUUUUGUUAAUAGUUGGCAUGUAUCUAAUAGGUUAAGUCAUGUUGGUUUGGUAUUUUAAGAAUGAUAUAUAUUUGUUUUGAUUAUAUAUAUACUCUUUUGAUUUCAAUUGUUGAUGUAUGUAUUGGCUUUCCUUAUUAUUAGUUGCAAAUGGUUAAUAAUCUUAGUUGAAAUGGUAUAAUGCUAUAUAUGUUAAUGAUCUUAAUGAUAUUGGUGUAAAUGCUUGAGUUAGAUUGAAUUGCAUUAGGGAUUAGUUUUGUUGAAAUGGAACAUUUGCAUAUUGAGAGUAGAGUGUAUAUAUAUAAUUAUGUCAUGAAAUGAUGUUAAAGAAGUGCAUAUGGUAGUUAAAUCUGAUUUGAAUAUGUUUGGUUUUGGCUUGGCAAAGAUUGCAGGAAAAAAAUCUUAGAAAUUGUAGAAAUAGUAUGUGACAUUGCGACGUCAAACGUAUCACAUCAUGAUGAGAAAUGACAUAUAACGUCAUGGCAAGAUGAGGAACCCCAUUAUCUCAACGAGGUCAAAACAUUAUAUGGUGUUGCGACGUCAAGUGGCUUGAUGUCAUGACGUGACAAACUAUUUGACGAUGUCACGACGUGAACCCUAAAUAUUUUUAAAUUUUUUUUACGAUUCAAUCAUAUUUCGAUCUCGGGUUAACUUUAAGCUUUCAAAAGCUUGUAUAAUACCCAAUAAUGAUUAUUUUUUAUAUUGUUUACUUGUAAUUCUUAUGGAUUGUAUGUUUGAUGGUGUGAUUUCGUAUUUAAUUUGAUUGUAGUUGCUUCGGCAACGAAUGUGACACCUUAUAACUCAGACCCGACAAUUGUGUCAGGUAUGAAGUGUUACACAUGGUAAAUGUUAUUGUAAGAGUACUUAUUGUAAUAACCAUGUUGGAGUUAUGGUGGCCUAGUUUUGUAUCCUUGUUGAUUGGUGUUGGUAAGCUACAUUGAAUGAUAUAGAUGGAUCAUAUAAUUGUUAAUAGUUGAUUUCAUUCUCUAGGUUUUGCAUAUUUAAAUGCUCUCAUUGGGUAUAAACAUUAUUUUUUAUUUCCUCCCCACAAAUGAUGUCUUAAUGCAUAAUUUGGUGGAGGAUGUUGUGAGCAGUUCACACGUGGGUGCGAAGAGUCGUUAGUUAGGGGAGUUGGGGAUUCUAAUGAUAUUUAGGUCGAGUUUCGAAAUAGGUAAAGAGUAUUAAUCUUUGGGGAAAGUGGGAGCCUAUAUAAAUGAGGGGCUUGGUAGAGUCCCUAUGGACAAAUGUCCUACUAUGCUAAGCUGUGGCGUGCUUUAUUUGGAUGUGAUAUAGUAUGGCCUGACUCUAAUUUUUUUAGAUCCAACGAUAGAGCGAUGAAAGACUUUAUUAAAUGUGAUGAGAGUAGCUCUUGGCGGAACCUUGACGUAACCCACAUGACAGGCAUGUGAGACAAUCAGUCUGACUAGCCCUUCUCAGUUAGGCACUUUAUCUGGUGAAGAUUGAUCAAAAGAGAUGAUUGGGUAUAAGAAAUAUAGAUAUAUAUUGGGAAUAUUAUUUUUAUAUAUAUAUAAGUUGAUGUUGAAAACUUUUUUAUCCAUACUAAUCAUAAAACCCUGACUAAAUUAGUGUCAUGGACUAACCGAAUAUGAAUGCAGUUGGGAAAAGACUAAUAUACAUUUUUUAAUUGACACAUAAUAUUAUUAUGAUAAUACUUUUCUAUUUUCAUACUUUUAUAUAUUCUUUAAAUAUAAAAAUAAAUCGAAAACCCAUAAAUUUAAAAAUCGAACAGAUGUUUAAUAAAGUUUAUAUAGAAGCUUGUUAUCACUCUACCUAUAUUUAUUGUUGAAUAAAUUUAAAAAAAAACAUUUUUUAUAUCAUCCACACUCAGACAUCUUCUAAUAUAGAAUAAAUAGCUUUGAUAUUUUAAUUCAAAUUUUAAUAUCCACCAUGCAGACUAAGAAAACAUUUUAUACAAUGAUAAGAUAGACAAACAUAUCAUAUAUGUAUAUAUAUGAUUCACCCUCCAAGAAUCUGGCCAUGUAAGGGUAUAGGAAAGUCAGCAAAAUGCACCAAAACAGAUCAACACUCUGUUUCCUUUAAUUUUCCGUCAAAGUGAGUAUUGAGGAAGCAGGCACAGAGAAGGAAGUACAUUUGUAAAGGAGAAUAUAAUAUAAGUUGUGUCCUUUUCGUUAGUUCUUUGUUUUUACUGCCUUUUGGCUUUCCUUUGUAUCCUAUUUCAGUCCCUUUGCAAAACCUGCCAUCUCUGAAGCUUUUGUAUCAAUUUUUCUAUAGGUAAGAUUCUUUAAGAAAAAAACUGAAUUCCGAAGCUACUUUGAUUCUGAUGAAGAAAAACCUUCCUUUUUUGCAUGAUUUUGUUGAAAAAAUAUAAAGAAAUGAAUGUUUUAACUUGUUUUUUCUUUGUCGUGAUGCAGAUAUAACCUCUUUAGAAUCUGUGGGAAAGUUUUGCAUUUUGGAAGGUUCUUAAUCCAAGAAAAGGUAGAUAAAUCUUUUUUUAUUUUUUAUGCUUUGGUGUUUUGUCGAUGUACCCUUUUAUCUAUUUGUGUAAAAUUUUAUUGAAAGUAGGGAAAUUUUGGAUGUUAAAGUGAAGCAGAUGGUGUUUUUGUAGAAAUUUGGGAAUGGAAGAUAGAUAUAGUUUUCCAUCCUUGAGAGAUGGGGAUUUUGAGGAAGGAGAUGUUUGGGCAGUUCUUAAGGAAAGUAAGGAUUCAACUUACAAGGUUGGACAUUCCAGUGAAUCUUCCAUUCCUGAUAGAGGACAUGUUCCAAGUGCUGCAAGAAUGAUCCCAAGAACUUUGUCUGCAAUUAAUACCAGCAGUAACAUUGGCAGUUGUUGUUCUAGUUACAGUCAUGAGGCUAACGA
Molecule: long non-coding RNA, 11613 nt
Filed under: Gossypium barbadense (sea-island cotton)
Lineage: Eukaryota; Viridiplantae; Streptophyta; Magnoliopsida; Malvales; Malvaceae
Description: long non-coding RNA (GBAR_LNC022565)
Source: RNAcentral